UGGCUGUGUACUCGAUUUUCUGCACCUGUCAACAACGGGUGUGGCUGAAAUAGCAGAAUCCACAAAUUUAAGGUGUGUCCACAGACUUUUGGCCACGUAGUGAAUAUAAAUCUCUUUCACCUAAACAAUGCUCAUAUUUUGAUUGACAACUAUUCCACCAUGUGAUGAAUUGCACUGCGUUGUGAGAGUUUCAGACUCCGUUUCAAGUGUACCGGCAGUGAUUCUAAAAGUAUGUGUGUGACAAAGUGAGUAUGUAUUUCCUUUGUUUGUUUAUGAGAUAGAGGAUAAGAUACGGUGUCACUAUGUAAGAGAGUGCGGUUGUGUGUGUGUACGCUUAUUUGUGUGUGUGUGUGUGUGUAUGCGUAUUUGUGUAUGAGUAAGUAAGAAAGAGAGAGAGAGUGCGUAAGAGAGAGAGAGAGACUGAUAAAAGAGAGCAAGAGAGUGUGCGGCAAAGCCUGUUGACUCGGUGUAAGAAUGACUGCGUGAGUACUGGAUGAACAGAUCACACCCUCACACUGACGAGGAAAAGGCGGAGAGGAAGGCAGACUGAACAAGGAGAAAGAAGUCGGGGAGAAAGGAGACAGGAAGGCAAAGAAGAAAGCUAGAGGGGAAGGCAGAGAGAGGAAGAGACAGGCUAGCAGUACAGUCUCUCUGGUAGCAACGGCUCAAGGCAUCUAUUCCCUACUCUUUCUGUGGGCUUGUAUAGAGACAGACAUGAGGACUCUGAGAGCUACAGUAUAGUAUAUCUUCAUGGAUAGGCUGGGUGGCUGGGCUCCUCUCCUUACAACCGGACAGCACAGCAACACAGGCAGCAUGGAGAUGAUGCCUGAGGGACACCAUAUGUCUCACCGUGGGCGAUUUUUAAACAGGCGAAGACCUCCCAAAUACCCCAGAGCUUCCUGCCCUGCUUUGCUGAUGCUGCAACGGUACUGUGUUGGACCUCGCUCCUCUUCAGGGAAGCUGUACUCUUGUAUGGAUGUAUAAAAUACUGCCAACUGUAUUGCUAAAGUGCAAACUUUCAAAAUAUCCACAUACUGCUUCUCCCUCUUGUUGGAAGUCAACUGUAGCCUGUUCUUGUGUGUAUAUAGGAAAUACUACCCACUGUAACUGUAUUGCUAGAGUGCAAGCUUGCGGAAUUUCUCCAAGACCCCAUCCUCCUUGUUUCCC
This is a long non-coding RNA of Oncorhynchus mykiss (rainbow trout), 1167 nucleotides long. RefSeq lists it as uncharacterized. The record is from RefSeq and is a predicted model, not a curated record. NCBI's taxonomy places the organism in Eukaryota, Metazoa, Chordata, Actinopteri, Salmoniformes, Salmonidae.